Molecule: ribosomal RNA, 253 nt
Filed under: uncultured bacterium
Lineage: Bacteria
Description: partial 16S ribosomal RNA
Rfam family: Bacterial small subunit ribosomal RNA
Source: RNAcentral
UACAGAGGGGGCGAGCGUUGUUCGGAAUUACUGGGCGUAAAGGGCUCGUAGGCGGCCAACUAAGUCCGACGUGAAAUCCCCAGGCUUAACCUGGGAACUGCGUCGGAUACUGGAUGGCUUGAAUUCGGGAGAGGGAUGCAGAAUUCCAGGUGUAGCGGUGAAAUGCGUAGAUAUCUGGAGGAAUACCGGUGGCGAAGGCGGCAUCCUGGACCGACAUUGACGCUGAGGAGCGAAAGCCAGGGGAGCAAACGGG